Molecule: ribosomal RNA, 1572 nt
Filed under: Hendea sp. MCZ IZ 135987
Lineage: Eukaryota; Metazoa; Arthropoda; Arachnida; Opiliones; Triaenonychidae
Description: SSU rRNA
Rfam family: Eukaryotic small subunit ribosomal RNA
Source: RNAcentral
CNUGGUUGAUCCUNCCAGUAGUCAUAUGCUUGUNUCAAAGANUAAGCCAUGCAAGUNUAAAGUACAUNNUUUUACAAAGUGAAACCGNGAAUGGCUCAUUAAAUCAGUUAUGGUUCCUUAGAUCGUACUAUCCUACUUGGAUAACUGUGGUAAUUCUAGAGNUAAUACAUGCAGCAGAACUCAGNCCUUACGGGANGAGUGCUUUUAUUAGACCAAGACCAAUCGGGCUUCGGCUCGACACCCAUGGCGACUCUGGAUAACUNUGGGCUGAUCGCACGAUCUUGUAUCGGCGACGUUUCUUUUUAAGUGUUUGCCUUAUCAACUGUCGAUGGUAGGUUAUGCGCCUACCAUGGUCGUAACGGGUGACGGGGAAUCAGGGUUCGAUUCCGGAGAGGGAGCCUGAGAAACGGCUACCACAUCCAAGGAAGGCAGCAGGCGCGCAAAUUACCCACUCCCGGCAAGGGGAGGUAGUGACGAAAAAUAAAAUAGCGUAUAUUAAAGUUGUUGCGGUUAAAAAGCUCGUAGUUGGAUCUCAGUUCGAGACUGGCGGUCCGCCGUUCGGUGGUUACUGCCAGGACUCAACAUCCUGCCGGUUUUCCCCUGGUGCUCUUCACUGAGUGUCUCGGGUGCCCGGCACGUUUACUUUGAAAAAAUUAGAGUGCUCAAAGCAGGCGUUUAGCCUGAAUAAUGGUGCAUGGAAUAAUGUAAUAGGAUCUCGGUUCUAUUGUGUUGGUUUUCGGAACACGAGGUAAUGAUUAAAAGGGACAGACGGGGGCAUUCGUAUUGCGACGCUAGAGGUGAAAUUCUUGGACCGUCGCAAGACGAACUACUGCGAAAGCAUUUGCCAAGCAUGUUUUCAUCAAUCAAGAACGAAAGUUAGAGGUUCGAAGGCGAUCAGAUACCGCCCUAGUUCUAACCAUAAACGAUGCCAACCAGCAAUCAGCCUGAGUUCCUCAAAUGACUCGGCUGGCGGCUUCCGGGAAACCAAAGUUUAUGGGUUCCGGGGGAAGUAUGGUUGCAAAGCUGAAACUUAAAGGAAUUGACGGAAGGGCACCACCAGGAGUGGAGCCUGCGGCUUAAUUUGACUCAACACGGGAAAACUUACCCGGCCCGGACACCGGAAGGAUUGACAGAUUAAGAGCUCUUUCUUGAUUCGGUGGGUGGUGGUGCAUGGCCGUUCUUAGUUGGUGGAGCGAUUUGUCUGGUUAAUUCCGAUAACGAACGAGACUCUAGCCUACUUAAUAGAGAACCGAUUUCCUCUCGUCGGUUACUCUUCUUAGAGGGACAAGCGGCGUUUAGCCGCCCGAGACAGAGCAAUAACAGGUCUGUGAUGCCCUUAAAUGUCCGGGGCCGCACGCGCGCUACACUGAAGGAAUCAGCUUGUGUUCACCCUGGCCGAAAGGUCUGGGUAACCCGUUGAACCUCCUUCGUGAUAGGGAUAGGGGCUUGUAACUAUUCCCCUUGAACGAGGAAUUCCCAGUAAGCGCGAGUCAUAAGCUCGCGUUGAUUACGUCCUCUGCCCUUUGUACACACCGCCCGUCGCUACUACCGAUUGAAUGAUUUAGUGAGGUC